This 266-nucleotide ribosomal RNA is filed under the name uncultured prokaryote. RNAcentral describes it as "partial 16S ribosomal RNA". It matches the Rfam family "Bacterial small subunit ribosomal RNA", at positions 524 to 788 of the family's 1533-position model. The record is from RNAcentral.
UACGUAGGUGGCAAGCGUUGUCCGGAUUUAUUGGGCGUAAAGGGAGCGCAGGCGGUGACUUAAGUCUGAUGUGAAAGCCCACGGCUUAACCGUGGAGGGUCAUUGGAAACUGGUCGACUUGAGUGCAGAAGAGGGAAGUGGAAUUCCAUGUGUAGCGGUGAAAUGCGUAGAGAUAUGGAGGAACACCAGUGGCGAAGGCGGCUUCCUGGUCUGUAACUGACACUGAGGCGCGAAAGCGUGGGGAGCAAACAGGAUUAGAUACCCCU